CCAAGCCAAACCGCUCAUUUGGCAUCUCUAAGGUGACGGUACUGUCGUACUGACCCAAUGACCCUUGGAGCUAAGCUACAUGCUAAUAACAGUAUCCAGGCUGACAAAUUAGGCAUCGAGAAUUACUAAUAAUUUAACCACUCCAUCAUCAUUGACACACGUAACAUUAGCAUACAAAUGAAAUUAGGCCAGCCUGUUCGCUCGCCUCCGUCUCCUUCGUGCACUCUUUUUUUUUCUCCAGUAUUUUUUCUUUCGCCGGCUCGGACUUCGACUUCUACCCUUUUGUUAAACAAAAACUUAAUACAAUCACGGUGACAAUAUACCAGCUAGUAGCCAGGUCAAUCUGCAGAUUAUUAUCACGCAUGUGGUGUAGACACGUAAGUAGAUCGAUGAGAUAGAUGCAAUGCGAUUGCAUGGGCUGCCGGCCGGGGCAAUCCAUCUUGUGCCUAGGACGGCAGCUGCUCCAUGGCCACCUCCUCCAUCUUCUGGUGAGCCCGGGCCUCCAUCUCGCAGCAGAGGCAGGGCCGGCUGAGCACGGCGCCGUGCGCGUGCGCGUGCCCCACCCCGGCGACGGCGUGCUCGUCGACGACCGGGAGGGGCUUGCGGGCGAUGAUGACGGAGUUGAUCACCUCCCCCUCCGGGUGGUGCACGGCGAGCACGUCGAAGCCGCCGCGGCGGAUCUCCUCGGGGUCAACCACGGGGUACAGGAAGCCGCGCGCGCCGUGCGCGCUCCGCACCACCAGCGCGGCGCCGGGCGCCAUGUGCCUGCCGAGGUGCUCGACGACGCGCGCCUUCUCCUCGGCGGCCAUGCCCACGAGCGCCGCCAGGAAGACGACGUCGUAGGCGGCCAGUUCCCGGGUGACGUGGGCGACGUCGGAGGUGCGGAACGCCAUGCGCGCGGCGAGCGCGGCGUCGGCGCGCACGAGGCGGCGCGCGCGGUCGUUGGCGUCCCCGCAGAUGUCGUAGUUGUCGAAGGCGGCGGCGGGGAGGUGGCGCGAGGCGAGCACGAGGGAGCUGAGCGGGAGCGGGCCGGAGCCGACGAAGGCGACGCGGGAGGGGGGCGGGCCCGGGACGUGGCGCGCCAGCAGGCCGUGCUCCAGCUGGCUCAGCAGGAGGUAGUUGGUGAAGUAGGGGAAGAGCGGCAGGUGGUCCAGCGGGUUGUCGAAGGCGGCCAGCAGGUCGGAGUAGUGCGCCUCCAGCAGCGCCUCGGCGUCGGCGCAGAGGCGGAUGAGGCCCGCGCGCAUGCGCUGCAGCUCCGGGCCCAGGCGCUCCACGUCCACGGUGCUGCGCGGGAUGCAGGCCGUGACGAGGUCGGUGAAGAGCGCGUUCACCUCCGGCGACGGGCUCAGCGACGGCAGCCUGGCGAUGGCGGCGGCCAGGCCGGAGAUCUUGCGCACCAGCGCCGACUCGGCCUCCUCGUCCGCCGCCGUCUCCUGCUGGACGACGACUCGCACAUCUCCUUGGACCACCUCCUCCUCCUUGUGCUGCUGCUGCUGCUCCUCCUCCUCCUUGCCCAUGACGGCCAUGGCAGUGUGUGAUCGAUCACACUGAUCACUUUGCUGGUUGCUGCUUCGCUUUGGAUUGGGCGAGGCAUAGUACACUAUAUAUAUAUGGUGGUGGGGGAAUAAUGGCGUCCCUGUCUUGUAGACGCGUGCCCGCCACAAGCCCUCUGCGUUGUUUUCUCCACACACGCAACGGCGUCCUUGUCGCAGUCGUCGUCGUCGCCAGUCGCCACAGCACGCGUACAACUUGCACUGGCGAGUGAAGUUCCAUUUCAUUUCUGCAGGGCCGUGCCUGAGGCAGGGCGGGAGGGGCGGCCGAUCUGGGCCCCCAUCUCCCAGGGGCCCCACCGCACACAAAGUCUAAUAGGAAUAUAGGAUAGAAACAGAUAUUAUUUACUAUACUAAUAUAUUUUUGAGUUUCUGAGGAGAAUGGAUUGAUAUCCC
RNAcentral lists this long non-coding RNA (1946 nucleotides) under Zea mays. Its description in RNAcentral is "long non-coding RNA (ZMAY_LNC000069)". Lineage: Eukaryota; Viridiplantae; Streptophyta; Magnoliopsida; Poales; Poaceae. The record is from RNAcentral.